AGGACGAACGCUGGCGGCGUGCCUAACACAUGCAAGUCGAGCGAGAUCCAUCCAGUGGCAACACUGGUGAAGAUCUAGCGGCGAACGGGUGAGUAACACGUGAGAAACCUGCCCCGGAGACCGGGAUAACUCGAGGAAACUCGAGCUAAUACCGGAUACCCCCACCGAACCGCAUGAUUUGGUGAGGAAAUGCUCCGACGCUCCGGGAGGGUCUCGCGGCCUAUCAGCUGGUUGGUGAGGUAACGGCUCACCAAGGCUAAGACGGGUAGCUGGUCUGAGAGGACGAUCAGCCACACUGGGACUGAGACACGGCCCAGACUCCUACGGGAGGCAGCAGUGGGGAAUCUUGCGCAAUGGGCGAAAGCCUGACGCAGCAACGCCGCGUGGGGGAUGAAGGCUCUCGGGUUGUAAACCCCGUUUCAGGAGGGACGAAAUGACGGUACCUCCAGAAGAAGCCCGGCCAACUACGUGCCAGCAGCCGC
This 482-nucleotide ribosomal RNA is filed under the name uncultured bacterium. RNAcentral describes it as "SSU rRNA". It matches the Rfam family "Bacterial small subunit ribosomal RNA", at positions 26 to 518 of the family's 1533-position model. The record is from RNAcentral.